Molecule: non-coding RNA, 2487 nt
Organism: Coturnix japonica (Japanese quail)
Lineage: Eukaryota; Metazoa; Chordata; Aves; Galliformes; Phasianidae
Source: RefSeq, a predicted model, not a curated record
GGAGAAGGUGUACCAAUAGCCUGCACUAUGCCCAUGGGACCCCUCGGAGUUCAGGACCCACUCCUGUGGGUCAGGAGUGCUACAGGUGCAGCCGGGCAGAGAGCCUGCAGCCCCACUUCAUAGAGACAUAGAAUCACUAAGGUUGGAAAAUAGCUGUGAGGUCAUAGAUGAGGUCCAACCGUCAACCCAUCAGCACCUUUCACGCUGACCACAUCCAUCAGUGCCACUCGGUUCUGACAGCUCUUGCCUACCUGUGUGAGAAAUGUGCUAAGUGAGUAAAAUUCAAAGCAAUUGGACGCUCGCUUCAUAAUGAAGCCCACCUGAGUCAGGAUUUACAUGUAAGGACCUAAAACCAUACAUAUGGUGAAUUACUAACCCCGUCAGGUAAUCUUCCACCACCACAUCCUCUGCGACAUAAUUCAUUACUUCGGUGCAGGCAAUCAGCCCUCAGCUCUUCGGACUCUGGCUGAUUAGUAUGGCAGGGAUGUGCCUCGCCUCCUGCAAAAUGGCAGCUGAUAAUCAAGUGUAACACUCCUCUGGAGUAAAGAUACACAACAAGAAAUAUUUGCAUUUGUUUACCUCUGCAACUCGGGAAGUGAAAGCCCUACCCAGCUGAACUUUCCCAUCUAGAAGGAUGACAUGAAUACAGAAUGGAGAAUGAGCCUAGAGAAAAGUUGAUUCGUCAGAGUUUCUGCCACAGGGAUUUCUCUAGUCAUUUCUGUAGCAGGCUUAAUGGAAAGUCCUCACACUGAACAGUGUGUAACUCCUUGGAAUCAAGCAGCUCACUGAACACGUUUGCUUCUCAAGGUUACUCUGACAGUUUGACAGGAGUCUGUUUUUAUUCUAUGCAGUGGUUUUCAACUUCAAGAUUUAUGAAUGUUUUUUCAGUAGAAGGUGAGUUAAGUCAGUCAAAAUUAAGUGAAAAUAGGCUUCCUUUUUUAAAAAAAUAAUGUUUUGUAUAGGCUUUUUUUUUGCAGCAGUUCAUGAACCUUCAGAGCUCAGCAGAUCAAAGGCUGAAAAACGAUGCUCAAUGUCUUUCUUCCAAGUUGACAACAGUAACUACAUAAAACUACCUCCCUAAAAUGCAGCAACCUGUCUACUGUCUAACUUGGUAUCUCCUUGUAUAUUGUCUGACCAUUAGGUCAAGCUCAAAGAUGUAAGAGAAGGUUAAUUCUUUGUGGUACAUUAAUUUUGCCCUCGUUAUCAAUUAAAGGCAUGUCUCAUCUCUCACUCAGGAUUCAGUCCAAAUGUUACCAAUAAGCAAUUCACUUGAUGCUAACAUUCAGGCUAUUUUCAAGUAUUAUAUUGCUCCAGAACUCAAAAAGUGCAGCAUUGCCCAUCCAACCUAAAACUGUCUUUAUGUUCCUGUCACUUCAUAACAAUGUCAUUUUUUGUGGCUUUGACAGAUACAGUCUUGCUCUGCUCUUAUACAAGCUGAACUGCUGCUGAAAGAAAUAAUCCCCUUAUCUCAUUCCUUUGUCUGUCACUCCCACCUUUGCAUCUCUCCAAUGUCUCUCAUCUGUACAGUGACUCUGUAAGCACUUUGCCUUCAUUUUGAAGGCCUUUGUUCCCAUCUUGUCUUGUUCCUCACUUAGCUUUAGCGUGUUACUUCUCACUACUGAUUUACCCAGUAUACUUGAUUUCACUGCAUUCAUUUUAUUUAAAACAAAUUCCAUUGUGCUGUGCCCUGUAUAACAAAUCCACCCAAAAACACAAGUAUGGCAGAAUUUGUACUGCAACCUGAUGCUGCUGGUGUGCUGAGCCUACUUCUGUCGUGAUAACUGGUACUGACUGAUUAGUUAUUCCAUUUUUACUAUUUCUGUCUGCCAGUUCUCAUCUUUCCUUACAUUUCAAUUACAAUCUCUUCAGCAUAGGUACCUUCUUUGCUUGGUUAGUAUUUAGCACCAUGGUCACUAAAAUCUCAUGUUCCUAAAACCUCUGCAGAACAGCCCAUGGCAGAGCAAGCCACAGAAACUGUCCUUACCCUCCACUACACCCCAAGUGAAGGGAACACAGAGCCCAUCCUCUCUCAUUGCGGUCUUCCAGAUGGAAAUCUCAGCACAGUGUCAAGUCAUGACAGAUGGCGCAUUUUGUGACACAGACAGCCUGCCAUUAGGACAAACUCUUCACUGAAGAGCCACCUGAUGGUAAUGACUUUAAGUCACUGACUGACCUGGGCCAGUUUGAAUCACUAUGCUGAAGAAGAAAGGCUCCAUAUUCCAUUACCAGUCCUUUGAGCCGCCAAGUCUACUCCAUCCCUUCCCUGCUUAAUCUGUAUUGAUAUAUUUAGUAGCAUUUUCCUAACUGCUCGCAUCCAUGCAGAUGUCUGUCGUCAUUUUGUUGAUACAGUCAAUCAAUACUACAUUAAAUGUUACCUUCGGUUUACCCUUAAUUGUCUAAAGUAGAUGUGGUAUUUUCAUUAUUUAUACGGCUAUGCCAUUAAAUUAUGCAUUCCAGAUUAAAAGAAUAAAAGAAUUGUUUACAUUA